GAAUACUUCAUUGUUACCAUCUUGAACUUUUUAUUGAACUUAAAAGAUAUCAGUCCUGCUUCGUGCUUGUAUCGAUGUUCUUUACAUUUUAUUUUUUAAAGCUUUUUGACAAUGGAAGAAAAACAGAUACAUGAAUGAUGCAAUUCUGAGCUUCUCUGCUAUCUCUGCUUGUAUUGGCAAUGGCAGCCUCCUCUAUAACUCUCGACUUUAUUCCUCCUCAGAUAACUGCUAAUGAUAGAGGGAUGGUGAGAAACCAUCAAGAUAACUUUUUAAAAAAUUCUUUUUGGUAACU
This 292-nucleotide long non-coding RNA is filed under the name Vulpes vulpes (red fox). Its description in RNAcentral is "lncRNA (ENSVVUG00000010903.1)". The record is from RNAcentral. Lineage: Eukaryota; Metazoa; Chordata; Mammalia; Carnivora; Canidae.